This is a long non-coding RNA of Betta splendens (Siamese fighting fish), 742 nucleotides long. RefSeq lists it as uncharacterized. The transcript is spliced from 3 exons. The record is from RefSeq and is a predicted model, not a curated record. Lineage: Eukaryota; Metazoa; Chordata; Actinopteri; Anabantiformes; Osphronemidae.
AAUGAAAACAGCCACGACCUACUCUGAGGCCGUGUCCCAGUUGUCGUCACACUGGUUGAAAGUUCUCCUUGCAAAUCCUGAACCACCACCCCCACAAUGAUCCCGAACCAAAACUGGACUUCCGCCGUUUCCCCCUCUCACUCACCGUGAACAGACGAGCACGGCAGCGCCCAAGUCCUCCCAUAGAAAUAGUUCGGUUCUUAGGUGUUCUAACAACACCAAAGUCUCUUCACUUUACCAAGGGAUCAACAAGUGAGGAUUUGUGGGUCACUUUUAUUUUUAACGGACCGGUGCCAGAAACACUGCCUCAGCAUUUAUACGUAUGUGCAUUUCAAACGAGGGUGCGUACAAUGCUGGAUUUGUUUAACGGCUCCUGUUGGAAAAAAAGGACCUAUUCCUACAGUCCGUCAUCCACUCACUGAAGAGGGCAAAUCCCAGUUGCCCACAUGCAAGGACGUUGUCAAACAGAGAAAUCAAUGCAGACUGUUGGUACACAGACAUCUGCUGCCCAGCUCAGGAGUGAAGUACCUUUUUGUUUCGAUGAGGUGAUGGUGAGGACAGCCACAGCUUCCAUCUGGUAGAGGACUGCUUCCGCUCAGUCUUCCAAAUAGUGAUGAGAACAAGGAUCACCACAUCUCCCUGUUUACCCUACUUUCAUGCAUUUCGUCUGCAAGGCCCUGCAAAAGCUUCUCCUUCGUCCUCAAACCCCCAGACUUCUUAAUUAACUCAGUAACCUAUACAU